This 20-nucleotide small nuclear RNA is filed under the name Arabidopsis thaliana (thale cress). Its description in RNAcentral is "snRNA_18091". The record is from RNAcentral. Lineage: Eukaryota; Viridiplantae; Streptophyta; Magnoliopsida; Brassicales; Brassicaceae.
GCUUUUAUCAUUCAACAUUU